This 2597-nucleotide long non-coding RNA is filed under the name Podarcis lilfordi (Lilford's wall lizard). The record is from RNAcentral. Lineage: Eukaryota; Metazoa; Chordata; Lepidosauria; Squamata; Lacertidae.
UGAAUAAAACCAUAAAUACAAACUUUCUUCUUUCUUCCUUGAUCCUUGAUGCUACCAGGGGAGAAGAGAAUCCCUCGAGCCUGACAUGUGAGUGCCAUUAUUUACCUGAGUUCCCACCCUGCAUGUUUGUUUUUAUACUUUAACCAACCUCAGGGUCAUUUUUAAUGAAGAGCAGACCACAAAUCCAAUAAAUGAAUAAAUUGAUAAGGUAGGCGUAACAUCUACCUGCUGUAGCAGUUCCAACCCUGAAAACUGCAUAUAAGAAUUCAAAACCAAAAGCAGUUCUUGACCAUUAUGCAAAAGGCCUUGAUCUCAUAAUUGUUUUGAUUUCUACUAAUAAAUAAGCUUGAAAUCUUCAUAGGCAUAGAGGGUUUUUUUAAGUAAUAAUAAAAAAAAUCCUCACUAUAACGAUGUUACCUAUGAAAUAUAACCAAAGACUACCACUUCUCUCACUCACUCACUCACAGACAUACACAUCAAUUACUCAAAUCUAUUUGGCACUACUAAAGCUUUCAGAGAUAAGGUGAGUCAUAAAACAUGACAUAGUAUUGGACAAAAAUACAGACCUUGUAUGUAACCUGCUUUUAUUUCUUUAAUGAACUUGAAAACCCUAACCCUACUUGAACUUUAACAACAAUCUUUUUUCUAGCAAGAACUCAGAUACAUCAAAUAUAGGUGGUGUUUUUUUUUUCAAAUCAGAAAAGCACCAUCUUUAGACAUGCAGGUUUUUUUGGAACAGGAGACAAAUAUAAUGGUUGCACUCACCUAACCCUGAAGCAAAAUAGAACAGGGGUGGGGAGAUGGAUAAGGAGAAAGGAUGCCUUGCUUCACAAGGGUUUACUAGUCCCAUAAAUCAGCUCUUUCAUAUAAUUGACAGGCUGGCUUUCAUUGACCUCUUUAUUUAGGGAGAUCAGCUGGAAAAUUAUGCUUGGUGUAGGUCAUAGCAAUGAAGUGGAAGGUCAAAUAUUGAUAGGAUUUUUUUGUCCCGAGAAUUUAAGGGCUGGUCUGUAUAAUAGCAACCACCAUUUUUUAUUUAUUUUUUAGCUUCAUGUUUGAGAAACCAAAUAACAGACAUGCUACAGCCUUCAGACUUUGUAUGUACUUAACAUAGAAUGGGAUUUGGGACUCUAUGGGAAGAGAAAUACAAUUUACUUCAGUUUGGUGUUCUCCUAAAGAAAUCGCGUUGCAUGUCAAAUCUAUACACGUAGAGUACUGUAAGGUCGUUGCUGUGUUCCUUCUGGAACAUAUUAUAUAUAAAUGUAACAUUUUAGCCAGCAGCAGCAGUGACAGUAAUAGGAGCCGGGUUCUUUUCAAAGUUUGACAAUGCUCAUACUCAUCAAUUGAUAUCAUGCUACGUAGGUUCCCAGAAGCCAGUCUUUUUUCCACUUUUAGUAUAUGGGGACGCCAACCAGAUGAGAAAUGGCUGGCAUUUUCUCUUUGACAUCUGAUGGGAGGGCGUUCCACAGGCCAGGUGCCACUACUGAGAAGGCCCUCUACCUGGUUCCCUGUAGCUUUGCUUCUCGCAGUGAGGGAACCGCCAGAAGGCCCUUGGCGCUGGACCUCAGUGUCUGGGCAGAACGAUGGGGGUGGAGACGCUCCUUCAGGUAUACUGGACCGAGGCUGUUUAGGGCUUUAAAGGUCAGCAACAACGCUUUGAAUUGAAUGGGAAGUCCCUAUUUCCAUCGAAUAAAUGUUGGCUUAAGUUUUCCUGGGCCACCAUCCACUUUAUCCCUUAAGGUGUCAGAAGUUCAAAUAAGCCACAUUGCCCAGCUAUUUCCCCUCUAUCUGGCACUAAAGUGCCGUUGAUGUUUCAUGCCUCCUGAAGGGCUCUAGGCAUGCUCAUUUUUCAUCAGGUCACCGUAGUGGGAUUUCCCCCCAUCCCCUGUUCUUUUUUAUUAUUAUUUCUACAGUAGUACUUUCCUGUGUGCCCAGUACAGAAACCCCUAUGCUCUGUAUCUGACCUGGUUUCACUGUUGUUCUGAUAGACACAGAACCACCAAGUUUCCUAUGCAAAGGAAUAAUAACAUGCAAGAAUCUGGAUGAUCUGGGAAUUGAAUGGAGGCUGAAAAAGUAUCAAACCAAAAAAAGACCACCAAAAAGAGGAAAGGGGGAAAAAGUCCAACCACCCAACUCUUACUUAAAAGUCUUCAAAAAGCUCACCCAUUCAUCACUGGUUGGCAGGUGAAUAGAAAAGCCUCCUGCGAUGUAUUGCUAUGUCUGACAGAGAAAAAAAAGAAAGAUUUUUUUCCCCUCCCUAUUAACAUCACUGAGCAAGAUUCUCCCACUGAAGCCUGUCAGCUGAGCUCCAUUAAAGGCAAAGGAGCUGUGCAAAUUUACAUCAGCGGAGGAUCUGAACCAUGACUGCUUUCAUUAAGCCGAGACAGAAAGAAAAGCAUUGCCAUGAUCAGAAAUGAACAAAAACUAACGCUGAGAGGAGAUCAACCCCCUGGUUUCAGAUGUCAGGUGCUUCUGCUGAGGAAUUCUCUCGACUGCUUUCACAAUCUGGCAAGUCCUACAAACAAUAGAUGGUUGGGCUUCUGAAAUAAUUGGCGAGUCUGAUAAUGUUGCCUUGAAAAGGUGAGCAGGAGAUAUUCUGG